UCCAUUAUUUUUGGAAUACCUCUGCAACAGAAAGAGAAAAUCAGCUUUCACCAUUGGCGCGCCAUUAUCUCCAUUCCAUUGACACAUUAUUCAUUGCUCCACCUCUAUCAGAUUCAUCAGUGCACCUGCUUCUCCACCAACAAACUUACGACACCUCCGUAGGCAACUUCUUUCAGCAACACACACGAAAAGGUGGGAGUCUCCAUUAUAUUUAAAAAGGGCAUCA
This 226-nucleotide long non-coding RNA is filed under the name Vitis vinifera (wine grape). RNAcentral describes it as "long non-coding RNA (VVIN_LNC004985)". The record is from RNAcentral. Lineage: Eukaryota; Viridiplantae; Streptophyta; Magnoliopsida; Vitales; Vitaceae.